UCAGUGAGGGGGCACCUGUGGGACAGAGGGGACAAUGUCCAGUGAGGGGUCACUUGGGGGGACAGAGGUCACAGUGGUCAGUGGGGACAGGAGGGGUCAGGACAGGAGGGACAAAGUUUGGGAGCAAGAAAGGAAAGUUUGGGCAAACUUUGGCAGGAAAAGUUUUGGGGAAGAAAGGAAAAUUUAGGGAAAGGAAGAGAAAUUUGGGGGGAAGAGGAAAAAUUUGGGGAAGGGAAAAGUUCAGGAGAGGAAACUCCUGAGAAAAAGAAGGAGAAUUCCUGAAAAAGGAAGGAAAACUGGAAAGGCCAAGCCAUGCCCAGCUUCACUUUUGAUUUUGAACCCCAAAAUCCCAAAACCGCCCCAAAAUUCCCCAAAUCCUGCAAAUUCCAGGUGCUCACCAUGCCGGGCACAGGGCUGGGGUCCCUCUGGAUUUGGGGGGUCCCCCUUGUCCCCAAUUCCUGCCAUUUCCGUGCUGGCCCCACCUGGACAAGACGGAGCAGUUUUGGGGUUAAAAAGGACAAAUUUGGGGUCACUGAGGUGAAACCCCCCCAAAAAUCCCCCAAACCCACCUGGGGGCAGCGGGGGGAGCUCGAAGCUCAUCUCUUCCUCCUCCUCCUCCUCCUCUUCCUCCUCCACGGCCCUCAGGGGGUCCCGCUCCUCAAUGCCACAAAAUUCCCAAUUCCUCUUUUCCUCCAAAAUUCCACUUUGGGGCUUCCCCCUCUCCUUCUUCUCCCGGGGACCCCCAGCCCGGCGGGGACCCCUGUUCUCCUUCUUCUCCAGAGGUUUUUUGGCUUUUCCCUUCUCCUUCUUUUCCACAUUUUCCGUUUUGGAGUUUCCCCUUUUUCCCGCAUUUUCCAUUUGGGGAUUUUCCAUUUUUUCCGUUUUGGGAUUUUCCAUUUUUUCCACAUUUUCCAUUUUUUCCACAUUUUCCAUUUUGGGAUCUCCUGUUUUUUCCAUUUUGGGAUUUCCCCUUUUCCCCACGUUUUCCAUGUUAGGAUUUCCCGUUUUUUCCACAUUUUCCAUGUUAGGAUUUCCUGUUUUUUCCACAUUUUCCACUCUGGAGUUUCCCCUCCUUUCCCUCUUUUCCAGAGCUGUUUGGGGAAUGUAAUUUUCCUUCUUUUCCACAUUUUCCUCGUGCUUGAUUCCCCUUUUUUCCCUCUUUUUGGGGGUCCCCAGCUCCUUUCGGGGCCGCCCCCGCCGGGUCCGAGCCCCAAUUCCUGGAGAAUUCCUGGGGGAUUUUUGGGGCUGAAUCCUCCUCUUGGCACAGGAACUUUUCUGGGUGGUUUUGGGGGGAUCUGGGGGAUUUUGGGGCUCCUCGGGGUCGCUGUCACUGAAUGUCACCUGAAAAAGGGAGGGGACAAAAGGGUUCAGCCCAAAAUUUUCAUCCCAAAAUUUUUCCUCAACUUCCAAAGUUUUCCACAUGAAGUU
RNAcentral lists this long non-coding RNA (1428 nucleotides) under Junco hyemalis (dark-eyed junco). Its description in RNAcentral is "lncRNA (ENSJHYG00000018187.1)". Lineage: Eukaryota; Metazoa; Chordata; Aves; Passeriformes; Passerellidae. The record is from RNAcentral.